GCAUUACUGAGGAGUCCCACAAUAGGACGAAAUGACCAUCCAGUGC
RNAcentral lists this non-coding RNA (46 nucleotides) under Schistosoma curassoni. The record is from RNAcentral. Lineage: Eukaryota; Metazoa; Platyhelminthes; Trematoda; Strigeidida; Schistosomatidae.